GAUGAAGAACGCAGCGAACUGCGAUAAGUAAUGUGAAUUGCAGAAUUCAGUGAAUCAUCGAGUCUUUGAACGCACAUUGCGCCCCCUGGCAUUCCGGGGGGCAUGCCUGUCCGAGCGUCAUUGCUGCCCUUCAAGCCCGGCUUGUGUGUUGGGUCGUCGUCCCCCCCGGGGGACGGGCCCGAAAGGCAGCGGCGGCACCGCGUCCGGUCCUCGAGCGUAUGGGGCUUUGUCACCCGCUCGAUUAGGGCCGGCCGGGCGCUAGCCGGCGUCUCCAACCUUCUAUUUUACCAGGUUGACCUCGGAUCAGGUAGGGAUACCCGCUGAACUUAAGCAUAUCAAUAAGCGGAGGA
Molecule: unclassified non-coding RNA, 350 nt
Filed under: soil metagenome
Description: partial contains 5.8S ribosomal RNA, internal transcribed spacer 2, and large subunit ribosomal RNA
Rfam family: 5.8S ribosomal RNA (bases 1-120)
Source: RNAcentral